ACGGGUGAGGAACGCGUAGGAACCUGCCCUAAAGAGGGGGACAACCCGAGGAAACUCGGGCUAAUACCGCAUAAUCUCGGAAGAGAAAAGUCUGGGUAGCAAUACCUGGAGCUUUAGGAGGGGCCUGCGUCCGAUUAGCUAGUUGGUGUGGUAAAGGCGCACCAAGGCGAUGAUCGGUAGCUGGUCUGAGAGGAUGAUCAGCCACACUGGGACUGAGACACGGCCCAGACUCCUACGGGAGGCAGCAGUGGGGAAUAUUGGACAAUGGGGGCAACCCUGAUCCAGCAAUGCCGCGUGUGUGAAGACGGCCUUCGGGUUGUAAAGCACUUUAGGCUGGGAGGAAGGUUAUUUGUUUAAGAGAUGAGUAGCUUGACUGUACCAGCAGAAUAAGCACCGGCUAACUCUGUGCCAGCAGCCGCGGUAAUACAGAGGGUGCAAGCGUUAAUCGGAAUUACUGGGCGUAAAGGGCGCGUAGGUGGUUGAUAAAGUUGGAUGUGAAAUCCCUGGGCUUAACCUAGGAACUGCAUACAAAACUAAUUGACUAGAGUACUGUAGAGGGUAGUGGAAUUUCCGGUG
This 576-nucleotide ribosomal RNA is filed under the name uncultured Gammaproteobacteria bacterium. Its description in RNAcentral is "bacterial SSU rRNA". It matches the Rfam family "Bacterial small subunit ribosomal RNA", at positions 102 to 675 of the family's 1533-position model. The record is from RNAcentral. Lineage: Bacteria; Pseudomonadati; Pseudomonadota; Gammaproteobacteria.